RNAcentral lists this ribosomal RNA (442 nucleotides) under uncultured bacterium. RNAcentral's name for it is "bacterial SSU rRNA". It matches the Rfam family "Bacterial small subunit ribosomal RNA", at positions 28 to 514 of the family's 1533-position model. The record is from RNAcentral.
GACGAACGCUGGCGGUGUGCUUCACACAUGCAAGUCGAACGAGGUAGCAAUACCUAGUGGCGGACGGGUGAGUAACGCGUGGGAAUCUGCCUUUAGAUGGGGGAUAACGGGUCGAAAGACUCGCUAAUACCGCAUAUGACGAAAGUUGAAAGGAGUAAUCCGUCUAAAGAUGAGCCCGCGUCCGAUUAGCUAGUUGGUAGAGUAAAAGCCUACCAAGGCGACGAUCGGUAGCUGGUCUGAGAGGAUGAUCAGCCACAAUAGGGAACUGAGACACGGCCCAUACUCCUACGGAGCAGCAGUGGGGAAUUUUACGCAAUGGGGGAAACCCUGACGUAGCGACACCGCGUGAGCGAAGAAGCCCCUUAGGGGUGUAAAGCUCUGUCAGCUGGACGAAAAAAUGACGUACCAGCAGAGGAAGCAUCGGCUAACUACGUGCCAGCAG